CGGGAUUCUUUCCCUCCAAUGAGCCCCCCGGGCCACCCCCGUCCGAUGCGCACGGGGAUUAUAAUUGGCCGUCCCCCACCCGCGGCUAACGUAGCGAAAGUUCCGCUACCCGCUUCCUUUCCGGAUCAAACCGCGGGCCCUAAGCCCCCCCCAACGACCCGCCCAUUUCCGAUCGGUAGUGGCGGGUAAACGCCCCCCAACCCAACGAUCUGUACUGGUCUGAGAGGCGACCCCCCCCACUGGACUGAGCCACGGCCCCGACUUCUCGGGGGGCACCAGUGGGAAUUUUGACAAUGGGAAAGCCUAUCCAGCCAUUCCGGUCAGGACGAAGGCCUUGGGUUUAAACUCUUU
Molecule: ribosomal RNA, 351 nt
Filed under: uncultured bacterium
Lineage: Bacteria
Description: partial 16S ribosomal RNA
Source: RNAcentral